GACGAACGCUGGCGGCGUGCUUAACACAUGCAAGUCGAACGGAAAGGCCCUGCUUUUGUGGGGUGCUCGAGUGGCGAACGGGUGAGUAACACGUGAGUAACCUGCCCUUGACUUUGGGAUAACUUCAGGAAACUGGGGCUAAUACCGGAUAGGAGCUCCUGCUGCAUGGUGGGGGUUGGAAAGUUUCGGCGGUUGGGGAUGGACUCGCGGCUUAUCAGCUUGUUGGUGGGGUAGUGGCUUACCAAGGCUUUGACGGGUAGCCGGCCUGAGAGGGUGACCGGCCACAUUGGGAAUGAGAUACGGCCCAGACUCCUACGGGAGGCAGCAGUGGGGAAUAUUGCACAAUGGGCGGAAGCCUGAUGCAGCAACGCCGCGUGCGGGAUGACGGCCUUCGGGUUGUAAACCGCUUUCGCCUGUGACGAAGCGUGAGUGACGGUAAUGGGUAUAGAAGCACCGGCUAACUACGUG
RNAcentral lists this ribosomal RNA (468 nucleotides) under uncultured bacterium. Its description in RNAcentral is "partial 16S ribosomal RNA". It matches the Rfam family "Bacterial small subunit ribosomal RNA", at positions 28 to 507 of the family's 1533-position model. The record is from RNAcentral.